Molecule: long non-coding RNA, 1065 nt
Filed under: Vitis vinifera (wine grape)
Lineage: Eukaryota; Viridiplantae; Streptophyta; Magnoliopsida; Vitales; Vitaceae
Description: long non-coding RNA (VVIN_LNC003231)
Source: RNAcentral
AAAAGUAAACACAGGUUGAAUGGAUUGAAGAACAGAAAGCUGAGGAACCAAAAGCUUUGCAGUUUCUCUUUCUAUAACACAUCCCUAGAGAGGCGAGAUUGAUAAGAAAAGUCAAGAGGUAUCCUAAUACUUUCUUUCUAUCUUACAUAUCCCUAUUAUCGCUCUUGUCAUCUUUCAUUUAUUUCUUCUGAUCACAACAAAGCAAUUAAAGCAUGGUUUUCUUUUUAGAAUACCCACAUGAUCAAAGUUCGCUUGAAUAAUUUUUUCCACUUUGAAAGAUGAGAGAAAGGGCGAGAGUCCCAUCUUCUAUCAAUCUCCUCACUGAGCUUUCCAGUCAUGUCUGAUAAAUGUACUUAUUUUAACUGUUCAAACCUUCUGUUCCUCAGCUUUCUGUCCCAUCCACCAAUAUUCCAAAAGGAAUGUGGGACUCAUGGUUCUGCUCCCAAUCAACCAGCACUCUCUUUCACUUUUUUCCUAAUCUCCUGACUGUUCUGGUAAAUAACAAGAAAAAAGGCAGAAAGUAGAAAUCUCCCCCCCACCCCACUCCCCCCACAUGAAAUCCAAACUAGUGUAGCCAAGUUUAUGCCAGGACCCUUGAAUGAAAUUGCACCACAAACUAACUAAAGAGUAUUUUUUUAGCAGGGGCUGAGUUUUGUUUCAAGCUAUAGGUCUUUUGUUAUAAACCCCUCUUAUCUUCUCCAAAUGAUGUAUUGCUGUUGUUCCCUGUCCAAUCAAACAGACUGAAUGGAUCCAAGGCCUUGCUUUCUCUCUCUUCAUGAUCUCCUGAUGAGAAUCCCUGUGCGAACAAUAGAUUUAGAGGGUCAGCCUCUAUUUCUCCUAAAUCUGCGAAGAAGUCCUCCGACUGGUUGGAGUCCGGCAUUGCAGGCUUGUAGCUUCUUGGAAACCCUUCACUGAAUUCACUAUCAUCCAUCUCUAGCUGCUUCUCAACGUUUCCCAUCUCCUCUUUCACAGACGCACCUGUUGUGGAACUCCCACCAACAAUAGGAGACAUGUCAUCGUUGUUAUAGCUCUCUUUGUUUUCUUCCUUCAACCCUGUUGCCUUCU